GUUGGCGAUAUACUGUCAGCGGCCAAGCGAAAGUAUUAAGUGAUGCACCUGGGGAGUACGCCGGCAACGGUGAAACUCAAAGGAAUUGACGGGGGCCCGCACAAGCGGUGGAGCAUGUGGUUUAAUUCGAUGAUACGCGAGGAACCUUACCAGGGCUUAAAUGUAGUAUGACCGGCUUAGAAAUAGGCCUUCUCUUCGGAGCAGAUUACAAGGUGCUGCAUGGUUGUCGUCAGCUCGUGCCGUGAGGUGUUAGGUUAAGUCCUGCAACGAGCGCAACCCCUAUUCUUAGUUGCCAGCGGUUCGGCCGGGGACUCUAAGAAGACUGCCAGCGCAAGCUGAGAGGAAGGUGGGGAUGACGUCAAAUCAUCACGGCCCUUACGUCCUGGGCUACACACGUGCUACAAUGGUAGAGACAGAGGGCAGCCACCUGGUGACAGGGAGCGAAUCCUUAAACUCUAUCUCAGUUCGGAUCGAAGUCUGCAACUCGACUUCGUGAAGCUGGAAUCGCUAGUAAUCGCGCAUCAGCCAUGGCGCGGUGAAUACGUUCCCGGGCCUUGUACACACCGCCCGUCAAGCCAUGGAAGCUGGGGGCACCUGAAGUCGGUAACCGUAAGGAGCCACCUAGGGUGAAACUGGUAACUAGGGCU
Molecule: ribosomal RNA, 647 nt
Filed under: uncultured marine bacterium
Lineage: Bacteria
Description: bacterial SSU rRNA
Rfam family: Bacterial small subunit ribosomal RNA
Source: RNAcentral